RNAcentral lists this ribosomal RNA (518 nucleotides) under uncultured bacterium. RNAcentral's name for it is "bacterial SSU rRNA". It matches the Rfam family "Bacterial small subunit ribosomal RNA", at positions 364 to 877 of the family's 1533-position model. The record is from RNAcentral.
UUGCGCAAUGGGCGAAAGCCUGACGCAGCCACGCCGCGUGAGCGAUGAAGGCCUUCGGGUCGUAAAGCUCUGUGGGGAGAGAAGAAUAAAGCCUGUGAAGAAUGGGCCUUGACGGUAUCUCCUUAGCAAGCACCGGCUAACUCCGUGCCAGCAGCCGCGGUAAUACGGAGGGUGCAAACGUUGCUCGGAAUCAUUGGGCGUAAAGCGCACGUAGGCGGCGAAGCAAGUCGGGUGUGAAAGCCCUGGGCUCAACCCAGGAAGUGCAUUCGAAACUAUUUCGCUUGAAUCUCGGAGGGGGUCAGAGAAUUCCCGGUGUAGAGGUGAAAUUCGUAGAUAUCGGGAGGAAUACCAGUGGCGAAGGCGCUGACCUGGACGAAGAUUGACGCUGAGGUGCGAAAGCGCGGGGAGCAAACAGGAUUAGAUACCCUGGUAGUCCGCGCUGUAAACGAUGAGUGCUAGACGGUGGAGGUAUUGACCCCUUCGCUGCCGAAGCUAACGCGUUAAGCACUCCGCCUGGG